RNAcentral lists this ribosomal RNA (253 nucleotides) under uncultured bacterium. RNAcentral describes it as "partial 16S ribosomal RNA". It matches the Rfam family "Bacterial small subunit ribosomal RNA", at positions 524 to 776 of the family's 1533-position model. The record is from RNAcentral.
UACAGAGGGUGCAAGCGUUGUUCGGAAUUAUUGGGCGUAAAGGGCGCGUAGGCGGUUCGGCAAGUCUCUAGUGAAAUCUCUGGGCUCAACUCAGAGUCUGCUGGGGAAACUGCCGGGCUUGAGUGUGGGAGAGGAGAGUGGAAUUCCCGGUGUAGCGGUGAAAUGCGUAGAUAUCGGGAGGAGCACCUGUGGCGAAAGCGGCUCUCUGGACCACAACUGACGCUGAGGCGCGAAAGCUAGGGGAGCAAACAGG